Molecule: non-coding RNA, 78 nt
Filed under: unclassified sequences
Description: c-di-GMP sequence
Rfam family: c-di-GMP-I-GGC riboswitch aptamer
Source: Rfam by way of RNAcentral
CCCGACAAAGCCAAACCCUCCGAGAGAAGGGGGCGGGAAGCGGCGGGCUUUAACAAUAAGAUGGCCGAGCUGCCGAAG